GACGAACGCUGGCGGCGUGCUUAACACAUGCAAGUCGAACGAAGAGCGAUGGAAGCUUGCUUCUAUCAAUCUUAGUGGCGAACGGGUGAGUAACGCGUAAUCAACCUGCCCUUCAGAGGGGGACAACAGUUGGAAACGACUGCUAAUACCGCAUACGAUCUAAUCUCGGCAUCGAGGAUAGAUGAAAGGUGGCCUCUACAUGUAAGCUAUCACUGAAGGGGGGGAUUGCGUCUGAUUAGCUAGUUGGAGGGGUAACGGCCCACCAAGGCGAUGAUCAGUAGCCGGUCUGAGAGGAUGAACGGCCACAUUGGGACUGAGACACGGCCCAGACUCCUACGGGAGGCAGCAGUGGGGAAUCUUCCGCAAUGGACGAAAGUCUGACGGAGCAACGCCGCGUGAGUGAUGACGGCCUUCGGGUUGUAAAGCUCUGUUAAUCGGGACGAAAGGCCUUCUUGCGAAUAGCGAGAAGGAUUGACGGUACCGGAAUAGAAAGCCACGGCUAACUACGUG
RNAcentral lists this ribosomal RNA (510 nucleotides) under uncultured bacterium. RNAcentral's name for it is "partial 16S ribosomal RNA". It matches the Rfam family "Bacterial small subunit ribosomal RNA", at positions 28 to 507 of the family's 1533-position model. The record is from RNAcentral.